AACAAGGCGUACCUGCGGACCUGCGGAGGGAUCAUUACAAGUGACCCCGGUCUAACCACCGGGAUGUUCAUAACCCUUUGUUGUCCGACUCUGUUGCCUCCGGGGCGACCCUGCCUUCGGGCGGGGGCUCCGGGUGGACACUUCAAACUCUUGCGUAACUUUGCAGUCUGAGUAAACUUAAUUAAUAAAUUAAAACUUUCAACAACGGAUCU
RNAcentral lists this unclassified non-coding RNA (212 nucleotides) under soil metagenome. Its description in RNAcentral is "partial contains 5.8S ribosomal RNA, internal transcribed spacer 2, and large subunit ribosomal RNA". The record is from RNAcentral.